CGAAGCGCUGGCUGCUUGUGCCUUUGAAGUCUCCUGACCCGGGUGGGCUCGGGUUGAGAGACUGAGCCAAGCCGCCCUGGACGGCCCAGAGAUGGGGACACCAAGAGACUCCCGCGGCAGUGGCAACGACCUGGUCCUCUUCUCCCUGGAACCUCCUGGCCGGGCGGGGCCUCGAGCGCUACACCCUCCAGAGAAUCAAGAAUCUGAUGCUUGGACCGGUUUAAGGUCACUUGACUGGCCAGACAGAUCCAGGCCGUGCUUGGAGAGCUGAUGAACAGAGGGAGUACUGUUGUAAGUUCUCCAAGGGAAAUAAACAGGGUAAUAAAAUUGUAACUGGGAAGCCCACUUUAGAUCUGGUGUGUGUGGUGGGGAGAAACCUUUCUGCAGAGUGGAUAUUUCAGUGGAGACCUGAAAGAUGAGAAAGAGACAGCCACAAAAAGAGGUAGGGUGGAAGGGGGAAAGUAUUUCAUGCAGAGGAAAGAGCAAGUGCAAAGACGUUGGCAUAGGAAAGGGCUUUGGUGGUCAAGAAACACCAAGGAGGCCAGUGUGACAGAAACAUAGCGAGUCAGGGAGAAAGUGGGAGACUUGAGGUCACAGUGGAAGGAAGGGAGGGAAUUGGCCUCAGGUUAUGACAAGGACUGAGGAUUUUAUUCUAAGAGGAAUAGCCUAGGGAGGCAUUGAGGGCUUUUAACUGGAGCAGUAGCAAAGUCUGAUUCAUAUCUUUGAAAAGACACCUGCUGCUGUUUGGAGGAAGGAUCCUAGUGGGCCAGAGUGGAAGCCAGGAAUCCAGUGAGAUGAGGAGACCAUGGCUGUAAUCCAGGGGAGAGGUGAUAGGCUGCUAGCUCUAAGGUGUGGAGUAGGGAUGGAGGGAAGUAAAUAGAUUCAAAAUAUAUUUUGGAAGCAGG
Molecule: long non-coding RNA, 905 nt
Filed under: Equus caballus (horse)
Lineage: Eukaryota; Metazoa; Chordata; Mammalia; Perissodactyla; Equidae
Description: lncRNA (ENSECAG00000055830.1)
Source: RNAcentral